This is a long non-coding RNA of Equus caballus (horse), 4094 nucleotides long. RefSeq lists it as uncharacterized. NCBI's taxonomy places the organism in Eukaryota, Metazoa, Chordata, Mammalia, Perissodactyla, Equidae. The record is from RefSeq and is a predicted model, not a curated record.
AGGUGGCUCCACCAUCUGGUUUAAUAUGGCUGCUCCAGCUCCUGCCAUUGCAUCUGCAUUCCAGCCUGUGGGAAGGGCAGAAAAACAAAGGAGAGCUAUGCACCUUUCCUUCUGAGGGUAUGAAUAGGAAAUUGUGCAACUCACCUCUGCUCUCAUUUCAUUGGCCAGAAUCCAGUAAUAUGGCCACGCCUAUCUGCAAGGAAGCUUUGAGGAGAGACAAGAUGGCUGCCACAGUCGCCUCCAGCAUUAUGCCAGCAUUCCAGGCGGAAGAAGAAACAGUCCAACGGUUUCCCAGAACGAUGUUUGGUGGGGAAAAAGAUGUGAAAACCUCAAAGGCUCCCAGCCACCGCCAGGCACCGUGACAUGAGAGACCCCACGUGGGUCACAUGUAUGACGCAACUCCACUUUCAGAGAAAGAAGUUGAGCCUCAGAGAGAUUAAGCAACUCACACACGUUUUCGUGGAGGAGAUAAGAGACGAUGCAGGUGGGCUGAUUCUAACAUUCUGCCUCUUGACAAUAAGGGGGGAAAAAGGGGAAAUUAACAAACAAGCAGCAAUACACAAACUAAAAAUGCGCCAGCCGGGCUAAUGGCACCCUGCUGAGGGACCCGCCACUGCAGCCCGACGGACUCUGGGACACACACCACCUUUAAGAAUCGAGUGAUUCCUGCAAAAUUCACAGUGAAUUUCACGUUUCAAAUUUGCAAAGCAUAAGUAAAUAAUAUUCUUCCGAGCCUUCUUGCAUCUAAAACCUCUGAACUGCCUGGGGACGUCAGGGUUUCGAGCGCACAUGAGGGAGGCCCUGACCCCCGACUCAUAGGAUCUUAGGCACGGGAGUGCAGGAGCUUCCUGGCACAAAAUAUUAGAGCCAGAAAAUAAAAGGACACCAAAUGCAACUGUUGGAAGCACCUUGUUGCUCAUCCCAUCCAACCUCCCACCCAGGGCAAGAUGAGGAAAAGCCACGGGAGAGCAGAGCAGCUGCUCCAUGCGGUGGCCCGAGCGGCGUCUGAGGCAGCUUGUGAUUAAUGGCCAAGAAUCACAGGGAAAAAACAGCCAUCAGAUCACGGGUUCCGGGUGGUCACUGAGGGUGGGGGAUGGGGUCGCCUUGGUGGGCAUGUGACCUGUGCAGUCACCCGGGGCCCCCUGCCUUGACGGAUGCCACAUUUGGUUUAAUGCUCUCCAUCGCCGUCUUGAAAUUCUUAAUAAUUUUUGAGCAAGUGUGUCGCAUUUUCAUUUUUCACUGGGUCACACAGAGUGUGUCACUGUCCAGGCUGGGAAGGUCUGAGAGCUGGCUCAGGAAGGGGCAUCUCAGGUGGGGGAGCAGGGCAGCAAAGUCUGGGAGCUAGAAAGCCCCAAAUCGGCGUGGGAAGCAGUGACUUGCCCAAGACCACUUAGUUAGGAGGUGGUAGCACAAGGAACUGAGCCCAGUCUUGUCGGACUCCAAGGCUCCUGGUCUUAAACACUUUGCUCUCUUGUCUCCUGGGACAGACCUCACACCUGAGCUGCCUUUCUGACUGUUCCUAUAAUCUCAGCCUUCUCUUCCAGGGAGCCUUCCUGGAUUGCUCUGGCUCAAUCAUGUUUGCCAUUCCCUCCUUACUUCAUCCUUCCUACCUGGCUGAGCUACGGCCCUUGCCCCAGCCUGUCUCCUUUCCCUGCCCCUCCUGGCUAGAGUCUACGGUAGCUUCUGGGCCCCCAGGCUGAUUCUGACAGUGCCUUACCCCCCAAGAAGUCUUGGGCUCAGUUCUCCUGCUGCAAACUUCAUGUAGAUUCUAUAGUGCAGCCUCUCUCACCUUCCUAUUCCUAGAGCUGGGCUCCUGCCUCAGUUUCCCUGUCUAAGACGCCAAAGAACUAUGGGAUAAUGGGACUCAGGCCUGGUUCACAUUCUGUCCCACCACACACUCUAGUGCAAGCAGCUUAGCCUCUCCAAGCCUCAGUCUCCCCAUCUGUUAAGUGGAGGGAGACCCCACAUCAGCCAAGUGAUCAAGGUUAGCAUCGCCAGUCAUGUGGAUGUCGUGCACCCAAUGACGAGGGCGCCACACCUCUGUGUUCUCUCCCCUAACCGAGGGACGUGCUACAAGAUGUGUGAGCGGUACCCUCGCAAACCAAGGUCAUGAAAAGCAAGGAAAGAAGGAGAAGCUGUCACAGACCUGAGGAGACCAAGGAGACCCAUGGCUAAAUGUGACGUGAGAUCCUGGACCAGAAAAAGGACGAUUCUAGGUAGAACGUGGCCAGGUUGCAGAGAACUCCAGAUGCCGCUGCAAGGAGCUGGCGCUUCACCCCGUGGAGUUGGAGCCUGGAAGGUUUGGGGCAGAGAAAGAGCACGAGGAAACGAGCCAGUCAGCACCUCUCCAGUCGCUGCAGCAUCCCAAGCCUCAGAGCCGACAGCAGGUCAGCGGUGACAAGCCCGGCCACGGGGCCGGUGACCUCCAGCUCCCAGGGGCCUCCAGCUGCCCCAAUUCUGGACGGGCUUCUGACCCCACCCCCAGCAUCCCUCUGGGCAGCACCAGAUAGAUGGUUUAAUAAUGCGUGCUGCCUGGCUGACCUUGUGGCUGCGGAACCAGCUGAGAUGCACACCACCUUCCUGCCGUGGUCACAGGGCCCAGGCCAGAGGAUCCAGCAGAAUCCCAGGACGGAGAAUCCUGGAGCCCCAGCUUUGAGCUGCCCUCGAUUCAUGGCCUAUGAGGACCAAGACUCUCAGAAUCAUAGAAUCCUAAGGAAUCGGAUCCUCCGACUCCAGGAUCCACACCCCCGGUGCUGUUUCUGCCUUGGCUAGUCUGGAUGCAGAACACAGAACUUCCUCAGUUUCCCCAAAUGUAACUCCAGCCCACUGGCCCCCAAGACGGCUCCUGAUGAUAGCUUCCUCCGGGAACUCACACCCUGUCCUCUCCCACCAAGCCCAGGGAGGAGCCGUGUGACCAACAGGACAUCGCAACAGUGACAGUGUGUGCCUUCUGAGGGUAGCUCAUCCAAGACCUGUGGCUUCCUCCUUGUUCUCGCUCUGGGGGAGGCAGCCCACGCUGUGAGGACGCUCAAGCAGUUGUGUGGGGGCAGUCCAUGUGACAAGGACCUGAAGCCGCCCGCCCACAGCCGGCCCCACCUUGCCAGCCACGGGAAUGAGCCGUCUUUGGAGCAGGUCCUCCAGCCCCAGUCCAGCCUUCAGAUGAGUGUAGCCCCAGCCACACGCUUGACUCGACCUUACGAGAGACCUCAAGCCAGAAUCACCGGCUUCCCGAUUCCUGACCACAGGAACUGCGAAACUGUAACCACAUUUUGCUGAUUUAAGCCACUGAGUUUGGCAAUUUGUUACACAGCAAUAGAUGGUUAAUAUGAUAACCACAUAGACUUUUCCCAAGGGAGGUGGGGGGGGCAGUGAGAGGGUGGGAGAGGAGGCUGAAGUGGGGGGAGGGGCUUAUCUCGCAGACUCCCCAGCAACAUAACUUAAAAAUCCCUUUUAGAAAUGUCUAUUCUCCAAAGACCCUUCACAAUCAGCCUCCUCUGGGGACGUCCCUCCCUCUCACCUUCUCCGGACCUGAGGUCUCCUGCCUACUUUCCUCAAACCCCAGCUCCACGUCCUCUCAUCCUUAUCGGGCCCAGGAAUUAUCUGUUUCCUAACCACUGCCUUCAACCUUCAUACCCUGACCUGUCACGGUGCCCAACAAAACACUGCUCGAUGAGAGGACCGACCUUCCUGAGAAGGCAGCUCAGGCUUCACGUCUUCGUAUUACAUGGGGGAUGGCUCCACAGUGGGGCAGGAGGCAGAGAUUUCAGGGUGGCCUCUUCAUUCGUUUUCCUUCUGGGUUCUGUGUCUUAUGACCGGUCCCUGUCUCCAGUGAUCACAGCCCUCAGUUCCAGCAUUGGAGGCACCACAGAAAAUCUGAUUUUUGGUCUGGAUCCAAAACAGGAAUGUGACACCCUGUACACGCUCUAGUGUGUGUGUGUAUUUCUCUAAAAGAAUCACUUAACCUAAUUUUCUUAGCAUCAACUCAAAAUGCCGUGUAGACCGAGGGAAAAAAAAUUCACCUAAGUACAGAGGGUAGAUCUCGUUACGCACCUUCAACAAGCUUUUAGCAUCCCUCUGUUCCUCUCACUCCUCUG